This 60-nucleotide microRNA precursor is filed under the name Ovis aries (sheep). RNAcentral's name for it is "miRNA (ENSOARG00000024965.1)". Lineage: Eukaryota; Metazoa; Chordata; Mammalia; Artiodactyla; Bovidae. The record is from RNAcentral.
GCUCUGGGAGGGUCUGGGUUUGACCGGAAGGUCCUGAGCCUGCCUCCUGCUGGCUUCCAG